AAGCAGUCCUACUUUGUUUUUCUAACCUCUGAAAAAAAAUUGGGGGUUCUUGGCUACUUUCACAAAUAUGGACAAGUCGAUUCUCAUUUUGAAGGUUGUUCUGUGACUUUGGUUGAUAGAUAGUGUAAGAGAAAAUAAAGGAAAUGUCUUUUGGAGUUCGUCACAGAAAGAAGAGUCAUAGUAGAGCACCACGAUUGCUAAAAGCUUAAAACCAAAGUUAGAGUUUAAAUGAAGUAUGGCCACUGAAUGAACUGCGGUUUUGUGGAGUUGUGUGGGGAGUUUUAGGGGGUGUUUGGUUCAAUUUUUCCAUCGGAUUACAUUCUAUGGAAUCAUAUUUCUCAUUAAAAAAAAAACUGUUUGGUUCACAUUAACGAAAAAGUGAUCCGGACUCAUGGUGUUCAUUGGAAUCACCAUUUACACUAAAGUUGGGGAUUCAAUCGGUUAACCUGAAUAGGUAAAUCCAGAAUCGAGUCACCUAAUUCCAGGGUUCAUAUAAAAACCCCAGAAUCAGGGUGACUCCACUUAUCGGAUUUUCAUAUCUGACCUUUCCCAUCCUUCGACCAGAGACGAACGCAGCCAAGGUGAGAUUUCUGAAAAAUGAACGCAGAUGAGGUGAGAUUUCUGAAAAAAAAACGCAGGCAAGGUGAGAUUUCCCCUCCCCCUUCUUCUGUGUUUUCUUCAGAUUUUGGAGUUGUCGGUUGUUAUCUUUCCGGUUCUUAACUUCAUAUCUAGGUUUUCAACUUAUGUUUCUUCCUCAUUGUGCAAGAUUCAUUUGUUGGCUUCAUCGAUCGACUGAAGAAGGGGGUGUUUUCCAGAUUGUUUGAGUUACUUCAUUUAGUGCUCAGAAUUGCUUCACAUGCAGUGGAUGCAGCAAGGAAGGUAGAUAGGAAGAUAGUUUUUGGAUUCUGGAUGUCCUCUCUGUGGCAAUCCAAAAGAGGAUAUUUUUCGCCCCCUCUUCGAAUCUAGUCAUGCUUGUGGAGCUUGAUUUGGGUCUCCUUUCAUAAAAAAAAAAACUCAGGACCUGUUAUCUAAUUUUAUUCAAUGAUUGUAGAAGUUAUUCUCUCUCAAGAGAUCGCAAAUCUGGGAAUAUAGCAGCCUCAGCUUAUUGGCCCUCCCUCAUCUUGAAUAUUUGGAAUCCUGAUCCUGUUGGGCUUCUGUUUCCAUCAACUUAGGAUAAGGUUUUCUGGAAUGCAAAUCAUGAAGGUUGGAGGUGCUCCUUGAAUUAGGAAUCUGAUCCAAACAUCACAGGUCAGGUUUAUGAGUUGUUAUAUUGGGAGUUUCAACUUAAGAAGGAUCAAUUAUUUCUGAUUUACAGUAAUCAUGCCCUGCUCUAGAUUGGUGCUUGGAUUCUAUUUUCUCAGAUGUUAAUUCUUGUUGUCUUCUCUGAUGUUUAUUCUCAUUGUUGUCUUGUUGAAAGGAAAAAUCAUAGAUUUGCUAUUCAUUUCUUCUUCAUUUUUCUCUCUAAACUAUAUCAUGUUCACUGUCUUGCUGCUUAGGUUUCCCCCUGCCAUUUUCUUUACAAAUCCUAAUUUCCAGUCUUUUCUAAAAGAAAACCUAAUGCUCUCCCAUGUUUUGUUUGUAGCUUUAAUUCAUAAUACAGCAGUCACACUUUUUAAUGCGAUAUGGUGUUGCUGUUACCUCACCCUGAGGCGCAUCUCAAGGCCUAUGCCUUUAAGCAAUUCUAAAAGCCCAGUUCCAGGGUUUAAAGUGAGACGAUAGCAAUCAGAUUUAGACAAGAAAUUCCCACGGAUACAUGUUGGGCCCCUGGUUCAUUGGUGCGAAUUAUGGUCGAUAUUUUUGGUGUUGUCCGCAUUCAACUGGGGUUGAAAACAAAGGUUGUGGAAUGUUCGAAUGGAUAUCAAAUUCAAGCCCAAGCUGUCAUCAUAGUUGUCACGGCGCUAAGGCAAACCAAGGCGGUGGAGGGUUGUCUAAGCGCUUAGGCGAGAAGGCGUCCGCCUUAAGGCGA
Macadamia integrifolia is the source of this 1966-nucleotide long non-coding RNA. RefSeq lists it as uncharacterized. The record is from RefSeq and is a predicted model, not a curated record. The transcript has 3 exons. NCBI's taxonomy places the organism in Eukaryota, Viridiplantae, Streptophyta, Magnoliopsida, Proteales, Proteaceae.